RNAcentral lists this long non-coding RNA (531 nucleotides) under Homo sapiens (human). RNAcentral describes it as "HSALNT0079778". Lineage: Eukaryota; Metazoa; Chordata; Mammalia; Primates; Hominidae. The record is from RNAcentral.
CAAGUAACUGGGAUUACAGCACAUCACCACACCCAGCUAAUUUGUUUUUUUUCAUUUUAGUAGAGACGAGGUUUCACCAUUUUGCCCAGACUGGUCUCGAACUCCUGAGCUCAGGCAAUCCACCCGCCUCGGCCUUCCAAAGUGCUAGGAUUACAGGCGUGAGCCACUGCGCUGAAGACAGUCACCAUGAAAGAAGGCUGACUACCCUGAGGCCUCUUGUUAUGAGAAGCCCAAGUCACAUGGAGAGGCCAUGAGAAGGCACUAUAGCUGACAGUCCCAGGAAAGCCCCCAGCCAAUCACUGCAGGAAAGACUCCAAGAAGACAUGCUCAACUUAGCCUAGUUAUCACACUAAACUAUGAGAGAUCCCCUUCUCCAGCAUCUCCAGACUGACAGAAAAUGAACAGCAAAUAAUGGAAAUCCCUUAUAUGUGGAAAUAUGUUUUCAUCGUGUCUUGGCCCCAAGUGUGUGAAAAAAGUUUUGCCAUGAAAGGAAGCAAGAAUAAGACAACUUUUGUGACAUUUGAAGAAUUG